RNAcentral lists this transfer RNA (77 nucleotides) under bacterium. RNAcentral's name for it is "tRNA-Arg". It matches the Rfam family "tRNA". From Rfam's summary of the family: Transfer RNA (tRNA) molecules are approximately 80 nucleotides in length. Their secondary structure includes four short double-helical elements and three loops (D, anti-codon, and T loops). The record is from RNAcentral.
GGGCGGGUAGCUCAGUUGGAUAGAGCGUUGGCCUCCGGAGCCAAAGGUCGUGGGUUCGAAUCCCGUCUCGCCUACCA